Molecule: long non-coding RNA, 2880 nt
Organism: Orcinus orca (killer whale)
Lineage: Eukaryota; Metazoa; Chordata; Mammalia; Artiodactyla; Delphinidae
Exons: 3
Source: RefSeq, a predicted model, not a curated record
UCGUAUCUUUGGCUCUGUAACUUGCAGUGCCCACCCAUAUCCCGCCCCCUGACACUGAACUCAGUCAUGUGACUUGCUCUGGCCAAUGGGAUGUUGGCAGACAUAACACAAGCAGAGGAUUGAAAAGCACUCCAUGAUUGGGCCUGCUUUCUCUUCCCGAUGUCUGCUUCCUCUGCUAGCACCAUGAGAACGUGCCCAGGCCAGCCUGCUGGAGGAUCAGAGACACGUGGGACACGUGGAACAGAGCACAGCUGCUCCAGCUGAGGCCAGCCUAUAUCGACCAAGGCCCAGCCAACACCCAGACACAGGAAAACAAGCCUCCUUGCCCUCCUGGGAGAUCUCAGCCACCCUGUCUGAAGCAUUUCGUGUGCAAAUGGAGGUAUCAUUUCACCUUUUGGAGGAUGUGUGCUGACUACCUAACAGAGGAGAAACAGAGUUAAAAUGCUCCGGGCUAGGUAAAUUCUAAGGAGGAGCUGAAAUGAACUUUUGAAGUUCAAAGAUUACCUGAAGUUCCUGGGUCCAGCUUGUAAUUUUUUUAUAAUGUUCCAGAAGGUAUUUCAGAUACAAAGACAAUCCUUAAAGAGAGAAGGAAGAAGAAGAAAAAUAACCGGGAUGUAUUAGAGACGAAGGAGCCAGCAGCAUUUCUUAACUGCAGCAUUCUCGACGUGUUGGGCUGGACAGUCCUCGUUGUGGGAGCCGUCCUGGGCACUGUAGGACGUUUAGCAGCAUCCCUGGCCUCUGCCUACUGGCUGCCAGGAGCAUCACCCACCCAAGCUGUAAUUAUCAAAGAUGAGAGGGUUUCAAGAAAGCAAACCGAGAGGGUUGGGUAGGCCAGAGAGAACAUGGCGGGCGGAGGAAGGUGGGGCUUCAGUGCAGGGGGGCCACGUCAGUUUUCAAAGAGGCAAAGUAGGAAGUUGGUGGUGAGCACACAGGGUGUAACGCACUUCAAGGUCUUAAUGGGACAGGAGUACGAGCGGUAGAAAAGGAGCUGAAGAAGCAGUGGUCCCAGUGAAGAUGCACCAGCUUGAAGCGCAUGUUUGAUGACAAAGGAGAAAGAUGGAGUGAGAGGCUGUGUACGCUGAAGAAGGAGGUCAUGAUUCAGGAGCUAGUGCACAAGGUGGUCUGGGAGGGAGAGAGAAGGGGAGACUCAGGGAGGGAAGAGCUGCAUUUGGAAAGAGAACGUAGUGAGGGAAGAUAGAGGGAAAGGAGAAAAGAUGGGUGCGGAGGGAGACAGGAGGGGAGCUGAACAGGCUCGUGCCUGGGCCCUUGACCUCUGACAAUGCCACUUGCUGAGAAUUUCCAGCUUGGAAGAGUGAGAAGAAGAAUAUUAUAAUAAUAGCGAUUCAGUAUUAACCACUUGCUGUGUGCCAGGCACCAUGCCAGGAGUUUAACAUGUGAUAUUUUCUGAUCAUUACAAACAGCCCAGCAAGGCAAUGUGUUUGCAUUUAUAGGUGAGACACAGACUCUCAGCAAGGUUAAGCUAUGGAGCUGGUAAGCAGUAGGAUCAGAAUUCAGACCUAGGUCUGUCAUUCUCUUUUCAGAGAGACUAGAAGCUGGAGAGUGAAGGGCUGGGCUGGCUCAUGUGAAGGGUGCGUGAGGAGAGGGGCACUCGGAGGACCCCGAGAUGGCAGAGAUGGGUGAUGCUGACUUGGGCUGUUGGAAAGAGGGAUUUUCUUCUGUGGGAGAAGAAGCAAUUCUUGAUUAUAGUUCUGGUUACAAAAGUUACACAUGCCUGUUACACAAAUCCAAACAGGGCAGAAACCCAUAAAGCGGAAAGUGUCCCCCUGCUGUAUCCUCAGUGCUGGCACACAGUAGGCCUGCAAUAAAUAGUUGUUGAAUGACUGAGUGAAAGUCAAGGCUCACGCAGUCUCAUCAUGCUGGGAUAAUACUCUCAACACUUAUAUGUCUUUUCCACCAGAUUUCUCCUGUGGUCAGAUAUUGGCAUUUGAAAAAAAAAAAAGGGGAGAACACUGUUCAUAUUGUAUUACAACUUGCUUUUCUUUUUUUUUCACAUAAAAAUACUGCAUAUCUUGGAUAUCUGAGAAAGAGCGAUUUUCUAUGUAUGCAGGGAAGCCUUUUAUUUGCAACAAAAUCUUGCAGAAAUAGACACAGUCAACUGAGCUUGCAAAGAAAAAUGUAAGAAGUCCUUUCUUUCCCUUAUCAAAAGAAGCUGAGAAACCAGGCAGGAGGAGAGGGGAGCUAACUUUUAAGGUCCUCCUUAGAUGUUUCCUAUCUUCCAGUGGGACCACACAGUAAUCCUUCAGCAAUCAGAUUUUUUUUUUUUUUUAGGUCACAGCUUUUUAAUUUUUUAAUUGAGAUAUAGUCGAUGUACAAUAUUGUAUGUUUCAGGUGUACAACAUAGUGAUUCACAAUUUUUAAAGGUUAUAUUCCAUUUAUAGUUAUUAUAAAAUAUUGGCUAUAUUCCCUGUGCUAUAAAAUAUAUCGUUGUAGCUUACUUAUUUUAUACAUAGUAGUUUGUACCUCUUUUUUAAAAUUGGAGUAUAGUUGCUUUACGAUGUUGUGUUAGUUUCUACUGUACAGCAAAGUGAAUCAGCUGUAUGUAUUCAUAUAUCCCCUCUUUUUUGAAUUUCCUUCCCAUUCAGGUCACAAAAAUAUGGAACGCUUCAUGAAUUUCCGUGUCGUCGUUGCACAGGGGCCUUGCUAAUCUUCUCUGUAUGGUUCCAAUUUUAGUGUGUGUGCUGCUGAAGUGAGCACAGUAGUUUGCUCCUCUUAUUUCCCUGCCUCUAACUUGUCCCUCCCCCUUUCCCGCUCCCCACUGGUAACCACUAGUUAGUUCUCUGUAUCUGUGAGUCUGUUUCGUUUUUGUGAUGUUCACUAGUUGCAUUUUUUCGAUUCCACAGGUAAGUGACGUCACACAGU